This 400-nucleotide ribosomal RNA is filed under the name uncultured bacterium. RNAcentral describes it as "partial 16S ribosomal RNA". It matches the Rfam family "Archaeal small subunit ribosomal RNA", at positions 473 to 873 of the family's 1478-position model. The record is from RNAcentral.
AUACCAGCUCCGCGAGUAGUCGGGACGAUUAUUGGGCCUAAAGCGUUCGUAGCCGGUCUUACAAGUCUCUGGUUAAAUUUCGAGGCUUAACCUUGAGCGUGCUGGAGAUACUGUUAGACUAGGGGGCGGGAGAGGUUGAGGGUACUUCACGGGUAGGGGCGAAAUCCUAUAAUCCGUGAAGGACCACCAGUGGCGAAGGCGCUCAACUGGAACGCGCCCGACGGUGAGGGACGAAAGCCAGGGGAGCAAAGGGGAUUAGAUACCCCCGUAGUCCUGGCUGUAAACGAUGCGGGCUAGGUGUUGGGUUGGCUUCGUGCCAACCCGGUGCCGCAGCGAAGGCGAUAAGCCCGCCGCCUGGGAAGUACGGCUGCAAGGCUGAAACUUAAAUGAAUUGGCGGGG